AUGAGCGCCAACAGAAGUUGUACAUCGAAAACAUCAAAAGAAAGACUUUUUAAUCAAGAAAUCUCACGCUUCGGGAACUUCGACAUGAUGAUCAAAAGAAAGACGGUGGAAGUCGGCAGGAAUGAAGAGGUAGAAAGAGUUAUGUCAAGUGAGUCCGGUUCAGGUGGCGCGCGCUGGCCGUCAAAGCCAGAAUUAUUUAUUAAUUCCGCAUUAUAUCCGAGUGUUGACGGUACACGGAACAGUAACGGUGAAUCGAAAUGUCGUGAAAAUGUCGAGAGACUUCAGGUUCUCACUUUGUGCCUUUUUUACGCCGAUCAACCCAAACCAGCGACCGUCGACACCAGCGCGCCAGGAUUCGACGCGCAUAAUUAUUUAAUAGGAGAAUACAACAACGGGAGCAUAAAAUGGUUAGAUGAAGCGCCACAAAAAACAAACGCGCUUAAAGACUGUUAUGUGCUUGGUUCCGGACGAGACAUCAGAAACAUAAUUCGUCACUAUGGAAAGAACGUUGAAAACAAACCCGCCUAUCUGAUGAUAAAUGCCUGGAUAUUUGAGAUUGAGCCAAAAUCUCUCUAUGUGUAUCUAGUCGGAAAAAAACUUGGAGAAGAAAAUAUGAACGAAACAAAACACCAAAUAGAAAACGUUUUUAAAACUCCAAAAGCAGAGUCUUAUGCUAAUAUUGUUGAAAAUAUUUCAACAAAUGAUCAAAAACAUUUCAUUUACCAAGUUGAAAACACAUUUAAAGGUCAGUCUUCAAAAGCUGGGAUGUAUGCUACCUGGUACUUAGCUGCUUCAGUUAUUUCCGAAUCUGCCAGAAACUUUAGAACAUUUCCUUUAACUCUUAUGGCCCUCGAUAUGAAUGAUAAGAAUUUUUGGUUUGAGACAAAAUCAUCAUCUGAUCAAACUCUAAAUCCUAAAACCCAUCCAAUGGCCAGAGGAGGAACCUGGAUCAACCUCAUGAGAGGAUUCAAUGGCGCAGCAGAAGACUCACAAAAUCUCGUUGACGUUCUAAAAAGAGAAUAUGAUGUGAUUAAUAAAUGGGUGAAUAGAGAUCAAGAGAAUAUAGAGAACAUACCGAUCAGAUUUACUACAGUAGCUCGCGAAUAUGCGAUACUGGCAGAAACAGAACAAUUCCAAGAUGAAUACAAACACUUGAUGAACACCGUAGCAUCUGGAGGACCUAAAGGUAGCGAUGGUGAGAUGAAGUCUCGUGAUUGUCGAAAGAACCGCUCCGCCAGCGAUCGAACCGCCGACGAACGAACCGCUCCGCCAGUGAUCGAACCGCCGGCGAAUAAACUGCUCCGCCUAUGA
This 1311-nucleotide long non-coding RNA is filed under the name Nothobranchius furzeri (turquoise killifish). RNAcentral describes it as "lncRNA (ENSNFUG00015005593.1)". Lineage: Eukaryota; Metazoa; Chordata; Actinopteri; Cyprinodontiformes; Nothobranchiidae. The record is from RNAcentral.